AAUGUAUACAGUUUAUUACUCACAAUAGUUAUACAGUACAAAAUACAAUGUUUUCCUAACCCUUUUCAAUGAUUUUUAUAAAAAGUUUAUUUUGGUGCAGAUUUUAGAACUUUUGUUUUUUAUUGUUUUAAAUGUUUAAAUGAAUUGCAUCUCUAAACAUCUAACAUCAGUAUAGAUUUUAAAAGUUCAGCUCUUGUCACAGGGUGAACAGUUUUUAUUCCAGUAACUAUGAUCGAAUCGAAUAGAAUUAGUUUUAUCGCAGAUCCAGUCUGAAGGCAGUGUUGGCAGAGGCGCAUUGUCUGCUGAUUGGUCAGAUUUCUUGCGCAUGCGCAGAGCGUUCGAGAAACAUGGCGUCCUCCAGUGAGCGCUCCGAGAAAAGCGAAAGUUUCCAGAGAAACGAACGCGGCGAUGCGCUUGUUUCAGACAGUCUUUCACACGACAGCUGCAGCGAGACUGUGCAAGACGAAGACUCGAGCGAAUAUGACAAGAAAGUGGGCGUAUCGACACAAACCGGGACCUAACUGUUACUGGCUCACGCGCGUGGCGCUGCUGCGAGCCAUCGCUUUCAUCUACUGUGAGUCCGACAGGUGGCAGCGCUACAGGAUGCUGUUGCUAGGAGACCAGACACACUUAGUUACAUCAGUUAGUUACAGUUACUAGCCUGUGCACUAGAAACCUAAAAGUUUACAUUAGUGCAACGCCUGUGUAUAAUAUAAUACCUCACCUUUUUCUUGCCAAAGUGUGAAAUCACUGCUGUCUAGUUGUGGCUUUCUGCUCAUUGGAGAGAAAGGGCUCAUGCCAUGAAGGACUACUUGAGGAGCAUUAAGCGUUAUGUGGGUGGCAAGAUUGGCAUUGCGGCCCUGGCGUACACUCCUUCGGUCCUCUGGUUUAUGGACUGGAAUGACAUGGAUGCCAACCUGGAUGGCACUGCUCUGGUGGGAAUGGCUCUGGCAGGGUUUGUUUUAAUUAUGGGGAAGUGCCAGUAUGAUCAUUAUGGGAGUGCUUUGGAUCCUGUAUCACUCUGAGCGUCAGACAGCUUUGGUGCUCUUUUGUGUUUGUGUGAGUGCAGGUUGGGAAAGCCAGCUUCUAGAAACCGGUUUCCUGGGGAUCUUCCUGUGUCCGCUGUGGAGUUUGCUUACAUGCACGUUCAUGCCUUUCCCUGCUCGCCUCAUGUGCAUGUGCAAGUACAUGUGCACGGCUAGUGCAUGCAUUAAAUGCCGUC
Molecule: long non-coding RNA, 1222 nt
Organism: Cyprinus carpio carpio
Lineage: Eukaryota; Metazoa; Chordata; Actinopteri; Cypriniformes; Cyprinidae
Source: Ensembl